Molecule: long non-coding RNA, 1263 nt
Filed under: Nicotiana benthamiana
Lineage: Eukaryota; Viridiplantae; Streptophyta; Magnoliopsida; Solanales; Solanaceae
Description: long non-coding RNA (NBEN_LNC008773)
Source: RNAcentral
GGUUGUAAAUAUUUCCUUACAAUUGUUGAUGACUUUUCAAGGGCAACAUGGACACACCUACUGGGAUCCAAAAGCAAUGCUUUUUUCUAUGCUUAAGUCAUUUCUUUCUCUGGUCAGAACCCAAUUUAAUGCUGUGGUUCAGACUGUUAGAAGUGACAAUGCCUUAAAAUUGGGCUCUAGCAAUGAGGGUAUUUCCUUUUUUAGCAGCCAGGGGAUCAUACAUCAAACCUCGUGCCCUCAUACCCCUCAACAAAAUGGUGUUGUUGAGAGGAAGCAUAGAACUCUCCUUGAAACCUGUAGGCUUUGGUUUUUCAAUCUGGCAUGCCUGUAUCUUUCUGGGGGGAUUGUUUGUUGACACCUACCUAUCUACUUAGCAGAAUACCCACCAGAUUACUUCAUAAUAAGUCUCCCAAUGAAAUCUCGUAUGGGAAAAUUUCAACCUAUACUCACUUGAGGAUUUUUGGUUGCCUUGCCUAUGCCACUGUCCCCAUCCCUCAAAACCCACCAGAUUACUUCAUAAUAAGUCUCCUCAUGAAAUCUUGUAUGGGAAAAUUCCAACCUAUACUUACUUGAGGACAUUUGGUUGCCUUGCCUAUGCCACUGUCCCAAUCCCUCAAAGGGACAAGUUAAAGCCAAGAGCCAUUCCUUAUGUUUUCCUGGGAUAUCCUUUUGGCAAAAAGGGUUAUAGAUUAUAUGACCUUGCUUCAAAGAAAUAUUUGGUCUCCAGGGAUGUCAUCUUUCAUGAAUCAUGUUUUCCUUUAAAAUCUGUGCCUCCUUCUGCUCAUCCUCCUGCUUCAUCUUUUCCCUUUGUUCCUUCUGGAGAACAUGAUUCUGAUUCUGAUUCUCCCAUUCACCUCUCUCCUCCCUCUUUCCCACAUCUGUGUAGAUGCCUUUUCCUGUCACUGUCCCAAAUGAUUCAGCCUUCCCUUCUUCUUUCAAUCCUGCCAGCUCACCUCCUGUUUCGGCUUCUUCUCCUUCUAUUCCUGCUCCCAGAAAGUCUCAAAGACAGCAUAAUCCUCCUUCCUAUCUUAAGGAUUAUGUCUGUCAACUACCUGCCUUCUCUGGUUCAUCUUCCUCCUAUUUGGAAUCUGAGCCUCUAUAUUACUCUCAGGCUGCAUCUGUUCCAGCAUAGCAAGCUGCCAUGAGACAGGAGUUUGAAGCUUUGGACACUAAUCAUACUUGGGAUGUUGUCCCUCUUCUUCCUGGUAAGAAACCCAUUGGUUGUAAAUGGGUUUAUAAAAUAAAAUACAAGGCUGAUGGAUG